GUUACUGCAGGCAUUGAAGUCUUAGAACAUUGUUUUAAUGAGUUACAGAUGAGAAAGUAGCAGGAAUAAAGACCCAAAAACCACAAGCUUAUCAGCCCACAAACAUGCUAUGAAGGCAGAAUAGAAGAAGCACAACUUGUUGAAGAAAUGGAAGCUCCAAUGAAGUACAUCUGUAUUCUAGCGUUUCUUGUGAUAAUGACCAUUGCUGGUUCAAUGGAGUGGAAGGACAUGAUGAUUAUGGUCCAUGUGGGAAACAUAACAUUGAGAAGGAAGCUGAGAAGCUGGCACCUUGUACAAAGGCAGCCCAAGAUGUGAAAGCUCCAGUUUCCAACCGUUGCUGCACUGUAAUGGAGAAAAAGCUCAAGAAUCCAAGCUGCCUCUGUGCUAUUAUGUUUGCACAUUCAGCAUACAACGCUGGAAUCAAGCCAGAAGUUGCCGUGACCAUUCCAAAACGUUGCAACAUUGCUGUUCGUCCUGUCGGUCACAAGUGUGGAGUUUUCCCUCUCCUUUAAGUGUGAAG
Non-coding RNA from Durio zibethinus, 520 nucleotides. The record is from RefSeq and is a predicted model, not a curated record. NCBI's taxonomy places the organism in Eukaryota, Viridiplantae, Streptophyta, Magnoliopsida, Malvales, Malvaceae.